UACACAUGCAAGUCGAACGGUGAAAGAGAGCUUGCUCUCUGGAUCAGUGGCGAACGGGUGAGUAACACGUGAGCAAUCUGCCCUUGACUCUGGGAUAAGCGCUGGAAACGGCGUCUAAUACCGGAUACGAGCUGUGAAGGCAUCUUCAACAGCUGGAAAGAACUUCGGUCAAGGAUGAGCUCGCGGCCUAUCAGCUAGUUGGUGAGGUAAUGGCUCACCAAGGCGUCGACGGGUAGCCGGCCUGAGAGGGUGACCGGCCACACUGGGACUGAGACACGGCCCAGACUCCUACGGGAGGCAGCAGUGGGGAAUAUUGCACAAUGGGCGCAAGCCUGAUGCAGCAACGCCGCGUGAGGGACGACGGCCUUCGGGUUGUAAACCUCUUUUAGCAGGGAAGAAGCGAAAGUGACGGUACCUGCAGAAAAAGCACCGGCUAACUACGUGCCAGCAGCCGCGGUAAUACGUAGGGUGCAAGCGUUAUCCGGAAUUAUUGGGCGUAAAGAGCUCGUAGGCGGUUUGUCGCGUCUGCUGUGAAAACUGGGGGCUCAACCCCCAGCCUGCAGUGGGUACGGGCAGACUAGAGUGCGGUAGGGGAGAUUGGAAUUCCUGGUGUAGCGGUGGAAUGCGCAGAUAUCAGGAGGAACACCGAUGGCGAAGGCAGAUCUCUGGGCCGUAACUGACGCUGAGGAGCGAAAGGGUGGGGAGCAAACAGGCUUAGAUACCCUGGUAGUCCACCCCGU
This 740-nucleotide ribosomal RNA is filed under the name bacterium 130_xplvp347. RNAcentral's name for it is "bacterial SSU rRNA". It matches the Rfam family "Bacterial small subunit ribosomal RNA", at positions 50 to 803 of the family's 1533-position model. The record is from RNAcentral. RNAcentral also lists the same sequence under 1 other name.